Molecule: ribosomal RNA, 639 nt
Filed under: Streptomyces ambofaciens
Lineage: Bacteria; Bacillati; Actinomycetota; Actinomycetes; Kitasatosporales; Streptomycetaceae
Description: bacterial SSU rRNA
Rfam family: Bacterial small subunit ribosomal RNA
Source: RNAcentral
UUCAGCUUGUUGGUGAGGUAGUGGCUCACCAAGGCGACGACGGGUAGCCGGCCUGAGAGGGCGACCGGCCACACUGGGACUGAGACACGGCCCAGACUCCUACGGGAGGCAGCAGUGGGGAAUAUUGCACAAUGGGCGAAAGCCUGAUGCAGCGACGCCGCGUGAGGGAUGACGGCCUUCGGGUUGUAAACCUCUUUCAGCAGGGAAGAAGCGAAAGUGACGGUACCUGCAGAAGAAGCGCCGGCUAACUACGUGCCAGCAGCCGCGGUAAUACGUAGGGCGCAAGCGUUGUCCGGAAUUAUUGGGCGUAAAGAGCUCGUAGGCGGCUUGUCACGUCGGUUGUGAAAGCCCGGGGCUUAACCCCGGGUCUGCAGUCGAUACGGGCAGGCUAGAGUUCGGUAGGGGAGAUCGGAAUUCCUGGUGUAGCGGUGAAAUGCGCAGAUAUCAGGAGGAACACCGGUGGCGAAGGCGGAUCUCUGGGCCGAUACUGACGCUGAGGAGCGAAAGCGUGGGGAGCGAACAGGAUUAGAUACCCUGGUAGUCCACGCCGUAAACGGUGGGCACUAGGUGUGGGCAACAUUCCACGUUGUCCGUGCCGCAGCUAACGCAUUAAGUGCCCCGCCUGGGAGAUGCACGGAA